CGUGCAGGCGGCUCGAUAAGUUGGAUGUGAAAGCUCCCGGCUCAACUGGGAGAGGUCGUUCAAGACUGUCGGGCUUGAGGAUGGUAGGGGAAGGUGGAAUUCCGGGUGUAGUGGUGAAAUGCGUAGAUAUCCGGAGGAACACCAGUGGCGAAGGCGGCCUUCUGGACCACACCUGACGCUCAGACGCGAAAGCUAGGGUAGCAAACGGGAUUAGAGACCCCGGUAGUCCUAGCCGUAAACGAUGUGAACUUGGCGCCGGGCGGGUAAAACCGCACGGUGCCGAAGCUAACGCGAUAAGUUCACCACCUGGGGACUACGGCCGCAAGGUUAAA
RNAcentral lists this ribosomal RNA (332 nucleotides) under uncultured Leptolinea sp. RNAcentral describes it as "bacterial SSU rRNA". It matches the Rfam family "Bacterial small subunit ribosomal RNA", at positions 568 to 898 of the family's 1533-position model. The record is from RNAcentral. Lineage: Bacteria; Bacillati; Chloroflexota; Anaerolineae; Anaerolineales; Anaerolineaceae.